UGGUCUAUAUUCUGAGAAUACACUUUAUUUUCCAAGAUAAACCCGACCUUUGAUGCAGGAGAACUCACUGACAUGGGCCCGAAUAUAUAGGAUUUUUAAUGAUUUUGGUGUCUAGAUAGAUGAAUUACAAGCUUAAUGUAUGAAUUCUGGGAGAUGCGCAGUUUGACACUUUCAAGGUAAGUUUUUUACUGCCAAUUUUUUUCCUUCAUUUUCAUGCAAAAUAGGCAAUAUUCUGCACUAGAUCUUCCAUGUAGGCUUGCUUUCAGUCUUGAAUUCUCAUAUGUAAUGCUUGAUACACAUGUAGUCCAUAUUACAUUUGAACUCUCUCUCUCUUGUGAGCCCAUGCUUUUAAUCAUUUGAAAGGAGAUUAUGUUUUAUUAUAUAAAUGAACCAAUGAGUCAUCUACCAUAAUUAGGGAUAGAACAAUCAUCAUUAAGCAUCAUAAUUGAUAUUACUCCAUGCUUUAUGAGUAGGCCUUGAACGUAAGUAAGUACCAUUAAUGAUUGAAAAUAUAGAAGAAAACAAAUUGAUGAAAACAUGUCUGAUGUUGACACCAAAUAAACAUUCAUCCAAA
Molecule: long non-coding RNA, 574 nt
Organism: Strongylocentrotus purpuratus (purple sea urchin)
Lineage: Eukaryota; Metazoa; Echinodermata; Echinoidea; Camarodonta; Strongylocentrotidae
Exons: 2
Source: RefSeq, a predicted model, not a curated record